This 893-nucleotide long non-coding RNA is filed under the name Bos taurus (domestic cattle). RNAcentral's name for it is "long non-coding RNA NONBTAT007137". Lineage: Eukaryota; Metazoa; Chordata; Mammalia; Artiodactyla; Bovidae. The record is from RNAcentral.
UUGGUUACUAACUCCACCCAAGUCCCCUUCUACUUCAUCCUCAUGGGCAUGGCCAUCUUUCAUACCUGGAUUUCCAUCCCAUUCUGCUGUCUGUACACUAUCUCUAUUGCAGGCAACACUACCUUACUGGCUGUCAUCAGGGCAGAGCCCUCUCUGCAUGAGCCCAUGUACUUGUUUCUUUCCAUGUUGGCCCUAACAGACCUGGGACUUAGCCUCACUGCUUUGCCUACACUCAUGAGGAUCCUCUGGUUCAAUGCCUCAGAGAUCAGCUUUGAGGCUUGCUUUAUUCAGUUCUUCUUCCUCCAUGGAUUCUCCUUUAUGGAAUCUUCUGUGUUGUAGGCCAUGUCUUUUGCCACCACGUGGCCAUUUGUCACCCUCUCCAUUAUUUUUCCAUCCUCACCAAGAAGGCAAUUUGCAGAAUAGGUCUAGCCAUCAUUUGCCACUAUCUUCUGGCUGUUCUUCCUGCAUUGUUCCUGUUGAAAAGGCUCCCCUUUUAUGGCUCCCCUCAUCUCUCCCACUCCUACUGCCUCCAUCAAGACAUUAUUCACCUGGUGUGUGCUGACACCACUACAAAUAAUGGGUAUGGAUUUGUUCUAGCUCUGCUUAUUAUCAUACUGGACCCCUUGCUCACUGUGCUGUCCUAUGCACUCAUCCUGGGACACGUCCUCAGAAUUGCCUCCCAGGUUGAAAGGCUCCGGGCCCUCAGUAACUGUCUGUCCCACAUUUUGGCUGUUUUGGUCCUUUACAUACCCAUGGUUGGUGUGUCCAUGACUCACCGCUUUGCCAAGCAUGCUCCCCGAGUUGUACAUGUCAGUAUGGCCAGUGUCUAUGUACUAGCACCUCCUGUGAUGAACCCCAUUAUCUACAGUGUUAAAACCAAACAGAUCCGUUGA